Molecule: long non-coding RNA, 1304 nt
Organism: Rosa rugosa (rugosa rose)
Lineage: Eukaryota; Viridiplantae; Streptophyta; Magnoliopsida; Rosales; Rosaceae
Exons: 9
Source: RefSeq, a predicted model, not a curated record
GUUCCCGCUCCCUCCAUCUGCUAUUUCCCGCUCACUCCAUCCAGUCCCGACAACGAAGUCAACCAUAGCAAUCCGCGAAGUCGACCGUAGCAAUCCGCGAAGUCGACAUCUGCUAGUUCAGCUCCACCUCCUUCCAAUUUUUCUUCCUCCUCCGUUGCUCAGAUCCUAAACUCUAAUACCCAGAAAUCAAUCAGAUCUGUUUGUCUCUCACUUUGUGGACUGCAUCUUGUCGAUCUCCACUCUCAAAACAGAAUGAGAGAGCAGAAUCAGAGCAGAAGAAAGCAGAAAAUCUGAUAGCGCUGGCAGAAAAGAGAAAGAGAGAAAAUGAGAAGCUUCACUCAGAAAUAAUUGAAUUGAAAGACCAGCUCCAAGCCAAACAGGCAGUGAAUGAGGAUUUUGAAGCCCAGAAGAAAAUUAAAGCACUUGAACAAGUGUUAAAGGAGAAGGCGCAUGAGCUUACUGAUCUGUCAGAAUUUUACAAUCCACUGAUUUUCAAGGAGAGGAGCAAUAAUGAUGAGCUGCAGGGGGCCCGUAAAGAGUUAAUUGAGAUCAUUGAGUUAAGAGAAAGAAGACGAGAGACUGAAGAUCUUGGUUGAACAAGGGUGCAUUAUUGGACGAACAUAUAGCAGAACAAACUGUGGUACUUUGAAUGAGAGAGGGAGAGCAAAUCUGUGGUUUUGAUGGGUUUCAAUGUCCCUUAAACGCCGUCGGUUCACUGUGAUCUGAACCAUCUCCACUCUUCGCUUUAGGCUAUCCAAGAGUAGAAGAAGAGUGGCUUUCUAGGUCAGUGACAGAGCUCCUACAUUUGAACUAGCAUUGUGAAACCUCUUGGCUUUAAAUUUAUGGUUUGACUACAGCUCCUACCUUUUUGUUCAUUACCUUAUGAUGUUCCCUGAUUGCACACUUUGCAGGUAUUUCAAAGGUCAUGAGCUCCUUGUUUAUUUACAAGAUUAUGACUAUUCUUUGGAAUUCAUAUGAGGUGUUUAUGUUGGUGUAGAAGAGGACGGAAGCACUGAAGAUGAUGAUGGUUUAGGAGAUGCAUGGUUGGAAAUGUCAAUGGCAUUAGAAUCUUCAAAGGAUGUCGCUGUACAUCCUUUAUCUGAUCGAAGAAAGAAUGAGUGAAGGCUACAGUGAGCAUUCUUUUGUCUUCAGCUGGGACGAGUUGAAGAAGCAACUAGGUGCUUAGCUGACAUGCACGAAGUAAGUAAACUGGGAUUGCCACUAAAUCAUGAUAUUGUCCAGGUUUAAAGCAUCCAUUCUGUUUCACAACAUCUUCAAGUUCUUGGGAGGUCCCGGCAAGGCUU